GAAACAGAUCGACUGCACACAUUCAAAAGGUGGCCUGUGUUUUGAUUCUGUAUCAAUUAUCCCCAGUAAUCUCAGGAGGAGGAGAAAAACAGGAAGUUUUACCAAAUACUUAUAGAAAGUAUUAAAUUAGGUUCUAUAACACAGCUUAAACCACCUGAAAGUACCACGGAGGAUAUCACUGUAUUUUUUUCGCCUUAGGUAUGUCUGUACUAUAUCCCUCCUAUCCAUGUAAAUUUCAAUACUUUGUAUUUGAUCCAGUUUUGCUGCAUAGUACAUCUUCUGUGGAAGAUCAGGAUAAUAGUUUUCAAGAGUCACUCCG
Molecule: unclassified non-coding RNA, 319 nt
Filed under: Hevea brasiliensis (rubber tree)
Lineage: Eukaryota; Viridiplantae; Streptophyta; Magnoliopsida; Malpighiales; Euphorbiaceae
Source: RNAcentral